GCGUCAGCGGAAUUUGCCCAGUUUACAAAAGAGUGGCAAAUUGAACACCGAACAUCGAGCCCACACUAUCCUCAAUCUAAUGGACGUGCCGAAAAUGCAGUGAAAACUUGUAAAUCCCUAUUAAAGAAAGCAAAAGCCAGCGGUGAAGAUCCUCUAUUAGCAUUACUAGAUUGGAGGAACACCCCGACUGAAAAUAUUGGAACCUCACCAGCGCAAAGAUUAAUGGGUCGACGUACUCGUACAUUGCUUCCCACACAUCAGAGUCUUCUUAAAACACCGGAACAAAACGGAACAAAGAAGGAAUUAGAGAACCGCAAAG
Non-coding RNA from Paramuricea clavata, 319 nucleotides. Lineage: Eukaryota; Metazoa; Cnidaria; Anthozoa; Malacalcyonacea; Plexauridae. The record is from the annotation of a GenBank genome assembly.